CCGAAAUGGGAGACGCGGAGGAGACAUUACCGAGUUUACAACUCCCAAACCCAUGUGAACAUACCUACUGUUGCUUCGGCGGGAUUGCCCCGGGCGCCUCGUGUGCCCCGGAUCAGGCGCCCGCCUAGGAAACUCAACUCUUGUUUUAUUUUGGAAUCUUCUGAGUAGUUUUUACAAAUAAAUAAAAACUUUCAACAACGGAUCUCUUGGUUCUGGCAUCGAUGAAGAACGCAGCGAAAUGCGAUAAGUAAUGUGAAUUGCAGAAUUCAGUGAAUCAUCGAAUCUUUGAACGCACAUUGCGCCCGCCAGUAUUCUGGCGGGCAUGCCUGUCUGAGCGUCAUUUCAACCCUCAUGCCCCUAGGGCGUGGUGUUGGGGAUCGGCCAAAGCCCGCGAGGGACGGCCGGCCCCUAAAUCUAGUGGCGGACCCGUCGUGGCCUCCCCUGCGAAGUAGUGAUAUUCCGCAUCGGAGAGCGACGAGCCCCUGCCGUUAAACCCCCAACUUUCCAAGGUUGACCUCAGAUCAGGUAGGAAUACCCGCUGAACUUAAGCAUAUCAUAAGGCCGGAAGAA
This 570-nucleotide ribosomal RNA is filed under the name Clonostachys rosea. Its description in RNAcentral is "eukaryotic LSU rRNA". The stretch from base 187 to 340 matches the Rfam family "5.8S ribosomal RNA". The record is from RNAcentral. Lineage: Eukaryota; Fungi; Ascomycota; Sordariomycetes; Hypocreales; Bionectriaceae.